This 76-nucleotide transfer RNA is filed under the name Caudoviricetes sp. Its description in RNAcentral is "tRNA-Gln". It matches the Rfam family "tRNA". Rfam says of the family: Transfer RNA (tRNA) molecules are approximately 80 nucleotides in length. Their secondary structure includes four short double-helical elements and three loops (D, anti-codon, and T loops). Lineage: Duplodnaviria; Heunggongvirae; Uroviricota; Caudoviricetes. The record is from RNAcentral.
AGGGGCAUAGCCAAGCGGUAAGGCAGCGGACUUUGAUUCCGUGAUUUCGGAAGUUCAAAUCUUUCUGCCCCUGCCA